UCAGAGCUCCUUCACAAGACGAUGGCCCUCUAAGACGCGACGCGUGCUGCUGCCAAAACAGAGAGGGACGACGCCGUUAGAAGGUUGCCGGAGUGAAAAGACCGCUGCUAAAUCAGGUAUCAAACUAGUUUCAUUGAUGCUCAUGUUGAAACCUGAAAACCUACAUAUAAAUAGAAUACAUGAUAGCAACACAAAUUCAAACUGAAACAGCAGCUAUCAAUGACGUUACUGAUCGUAAUUAUGAAUGACGCGGAGAGGAAUGCGUCGAGAGGGCUGUUACUGCUCCGUUGUCACACGGCCACCGCCAGGACGCCGCCGCUGCCAGACCUAUCGGAAGAGAUGAUAAUGGAAAUCUUGCUGAGGCUUCCGGCAAGGACGCUUGUUUCCCUAAGGAGUGUGUGCAGGUCAUGGAGAAACCUAAUUUCCUCCCCUGACUUCACCCGCAACCACCUUCGUCGUUCACGCUUACGCAAUCCAAGCCUGACUCCGCUACGAAUUGCUUGUUACAACAGUUUGCCCUUCAGAUGCAGUGGUGUUAGAUACGACAGUAUUGGAGUUCUCUCCGUACAGUCAAUAAUGGAGAACCCUUCUGAACCUACUAAAGUCGAUUACUUCAGUGGACAACACUACUACAGAAUCGUUGGUUCUUGCCAUGGAUUGUUGUGCUUUUUUGAUGAGCAUGACUACCAGAAUACGCGUGGCAUCUUGUGGAACCCCUGUACUGGAUUCACAUUCCAAUCACCGCAAAUCAGCGGUCAAGCCUUCUCUUCUGGCUUUGGUUAUGAUCAUCUCAGUGACAGUUACAAGCUUUUUGGAAUUAUAAGGAAGAAAGGGCCAUCUGGUGUUGAAUAUAGUACCAGAAUUUAUACAUUUGGAUCAACUUUGUCGUGGAGAAGAAUUGAUGAUAGCCCAUUUGGCCUACUUGGUAUCCCAACUAACCACUUUUGUAUGGCAGAGAAUGGGGUAUUUUUCGGUAGUAGCAGAGCAUGCACUAUUAAUUGGAUUGUUAAUCAUGUGGUUCUUUAUUUUGACUUGGGUAAAGAGACUUAUGCUCAUUUUACCCUGCCUGAUACGGAUUCAAGUGAUUAUCUCUGGAUACAAUGCAAAAAGUUGUGUGUUUUGAUAAACUGCCUUUCUGUUUGUUAUGGGUAUUUAAGAACACAACCCUCAAUUGUGUGGCAGAUGAAAGAAUAUGGAGAUGCUCAAUCUUGGACUAAAUUGGCAAUGAUUUCCUUCCACGGCCUGUUUUCUCCCUUACAACCUCUCUAUAUCUCGGAAACUGAUGUGCUUUUGGCCGUUUCUCCGUCUUUUAAAAUAGUUUUGUGUAACUUGAAUGAUGGCAGCGUAGAUUUUCCUGUGAUUGAUGAAGGCGCGGAGAACGAUCCUUAUCUUUCUCAAAGUAUAUGUUCUAGGAUGGCUUAUAUCUACCAUGAAAGCUUAGUUUCACCAAAUGGUCUUCAAGGCAACUCAUCCAAAACGCUGCUGCGUUUCAUCAAACCCAAACCGAAUCCUAUUGUCUCUUGGGUAUACGUCAGGCCAGAAGUCCAAUGACUAAUUCCUCGGGUAUUGCAGAGGCACAAAAUGGACGACCCUCCCAAGCAAGCAAGCUUCAUUCCCAUCCUCCAGUGAGUAUCGAACCCAGGAGAGAUGGUUAAGGAACACAAACCCUCAUCCAUCUGUGCCAACUUGCUUUGAAAUGGAAUCUUCAAGUUGCAAAAUUCUCAUGAGGUUUUGAAGCAUUAUACAGAGGCUAUUGACUGUAGUCCUAAACAUGCCAAGGUAACAAUACUCAUUAAUUAGAGGUGAAUGCCGAUCAUGGUCUGUUCAAAACUUCAAAUGCAUUUCAAGUUGUAGGUGCUUAUGUUAUAGUUAUAUUCUGAGUUGCUGUAUAAAAAUAACAAUAAAAGAAGACAAGAUUGCACUUGAUUUGAUUAAAGUUUGGACUAUAAACAUAUGGAAGUUUAAGCAUGGGAAGCAACAUGUUGUUUUGAUUUUUCAUUUUAUUAAAAAUUAAGGACCACUGAUUUGAGCCAAUUAUUCUUUUGUAACACAUGGUUCAAAUGUACCUUGACAAAAAAAUCCGGUAGGGAUCUUUGCUCUUGUGAGUUGAAUAUUGAAAAGCCAUUUGUUUCCUUCAAAUGAUUUUUCCUCGUUUACAUUUAUGUAUGGCAACGAUUUUUUAUUUCUACGAAGUUUCGUUUGGCUUUCAGGGAAUGUGGCGCUGAUUUUUUGCAUUAUUUUAUUUAUUUAGUAUGUUGUAAGGUCCUUGUGUAGAGUCCAAACGUGGUGAAUGCCACUCCCUCUAAGGUAUUAUUGCUUUGUUGAAUAUAUGAAGAGCCAGGAAAUUAUUCUUACAUGGUGGUUAUAUCUACUGGUUGUUCUUCUCCUUCCGAUAAAAGGGUCCGGAUGAGUAUUUCUUUUGGUGGUUUUUACGAAAAGCAGAUUAUUGAAGAAGUGUUAUUGAUGGUGAACUUCGAGAAAAGAUGAAUGAUGGAAAAAAGAUGAAUGAAGAAAAACGCUCUCAAUCUGGUUGCGAUAAGCAUGUAAUCAUUGCCAUGUGUGCGAUGAACAUUGCAACAAAAGAAGAGUGGCAGGAGCUGAUUCAGGAAUUCAAGUUAUAAUGGAAGUGUCUUUGCCUAUUCAUCAACACAACAAACAACAUGUAGGUUUAUAUAUAAAUUCCUCAUAUCUCAUAUAUGGAAGUUAGUUAAUUUAUUAGAAGUUUAAUUAAUUCGAAUUAUAUAUUUGUGAGUAGAGAGGAGGAAAGUGCUGCUUAAUUGAAAAGCAGUGGUAGUGAGGAAUCAAGUAGUAUUGGCUGCAAAUUCAAAGAAAUUAAAGCUAACUAGCUAGCUUCUUUUUGUUAAUUAUUAUUAUCAAUUCAUUUUCAUUCUUCUUGAUGUCGUCUUCAUGUUUUUGGUUUGGCUAAGCAAUAAAGCUAAGUAAGCAAUAAAGCACUUGCAUUUAUUGACUAUCAGCUUAUUAAUUAUAUAUGAUAUAUAUUAUCGCUAUCUUUGAA
RNA transcript from Arachis stenosperma, 3016 nucleotides. It is a transcript of the gene named F-box/kelch-repeat protein At3g23880-like, with no coding region annotated. The transcript is spliced from 6 exons. The record is from RefSeq and is a predicted model, not a curated record. Lineage: Eukaryota; Viridiplantae; Streptophyta; Magnoliopsida; Fabales; Fabaceae.